Molecule: long non-coding RNA, 1272 nt
Filed under: Mytilus galloprovincialis (Mediterranean mussel)
Lineage: Eukaryota; Metazoa; Mollusca; Bivalvia; Mytilida; Mytilidae
Source: RNAcentral
AAGAUUUUGUCGUUGAUGACGUCAUGAAUUUUGAAGAUUUAUUGCACUAGUACAAUAUUAGAAUUUAUUGCACGCUAACUUUUGGUUACGUUCUGUGGGAAAUAUUAUAUUGCUAUGCAAUAAUAUAUAUUUUAUGAUCUGAUCAAACUUAUUGUUUAAUGUGUCACAUGUAUGUUUUCCUUAACAAGAAUCUCACCAAGCUAAGUGAGUUGAUUAGAACCAACCAGGCUAUGGCAUAUCAAUUUUAAGUUUCAAAUAUAUGUAUUUCAUGAUUAAUGGCUUUGUAAAAAUAAUUGGUUUGGUUCAGCAUUUUAUUCUAUAUUACAAUGUAUAUUGGAAAGUAAACAUUUGGAUGAGUAUGGGCUUUACAAAUUUGUUACUUACAAAAAGUAAUGAAAGAUAUAAUUUUAUGUUUUUAAAUGCCUUAAUGUGAAAAUAUUGUUCAUAAUUUUUAUCUUGAGAACAAAACUUUCUAUAAUGUUUCUUCUUUGUUUAUAAUAUAUUGUAUGUAAAAUAUUAUGUUUAGAAAAUAUAUAUGUAGUCUUCCUGUUCACAAUAAGAUUGUGUCAUUCGAAGAUAAUAUUAUUGUGUCAAGGGACCAUAAUAAUAAUAGAAAUGUGUCAAGGGAAGAUAAUCAUGUCCAAGAUCACACAGUUGAAGUUUUUCUUUAAAAUGAUAUAUAUAACUAUAUAACAAUAAAAAAUAGACUCUGCAUGCAUGCAUUUAAACAUUUGAAAUUAUGUUGUUAAAAAACACCACUUAGGUUUCAUUGCAUAUAAAAAUAAUAGACUAACAUAGAACUAGAUUGGAAAGUUUCUGUUUUAAUUUCAGGCACCAUUUCUCUUCAAGUGUCAUAAUUUUAUUAGAAACAAAGAAUUAAAAACAUACAAGUAUUAUUACCUUUCUACAUUUGAAAUGUCACUCUUUUAAAUAAAACAAAAUGUUUUGAAAUGUAAUAGUAGGUUUAUUAUAUACUAAUCUUUAACUGUUCUCUCAUCAAACUAACAAUAACAUUGAUGUUUUUGUUGUAUUACCCCCUCAGCGAUAGUUAAACCUGCUCAUUAGAAUUGACACAAGGGGGAGACAAUCAUCUCAUGUAGAAUUGAUAUAAGGGGAGGCAAUCCUCUCAUGUAGAAUUGACACAAGGGGGAGACAAUCCUCAUGUAGAAUUGAAAUAAGGGGAGACAAUCCUGUUUUGUAGACUUGAUUAAAGGGGAUGUAAUCCUCCUUGUUAUGAAACCAUUUUCAACUGUGAUAUGUAAUAAAACAGCU